Molecule: ribosomal RNA, 1413 nt
Filed under: mixed culture metagenome
Description: bacterial LSU rRNA
Rfam family: Bacterial large subunit ribosomal RNA
Source: RNAcentral
GUGCCUACAAGCGGUCGGAGCAGAUUUAAUCUGUGACGGCGUGCCUUUUGCAUAAUGAUCCUACGAGUUACUCCUCAUUGGCAAGGUUAAGUGUUUAAGACACGGAGCCGAAGCGAAAGCGAGUCUGAAUAGGGCGCUUUAGUCAGUGGGGGUAGACGCGAAACCUUGUGAUCUACCCAUGGGCAGGUUGAAGUUCCAGUAACAUGGAAUGGAGGACCGAACCGAUAAACGUUGAAAAGUUUCCGGAUGACCUGUGGGUAGGGGUGAAAGGCCAAUCAAACUGGGAAAUAGCUCGUACUCCCCGAAAUGCAUUUAGGUGCAGCGUUCAGGUAGAGUUUUAUAGAGGUAGAGCUACUGAUAGGGCUAGGGGGCUUCACCGCCUACCAAACCCUGACAAACUCCGAAUGCUAUAAAAUAUACUGAGCAGUGAGGGCAUGGGUGCUAAGGUCCAUGUCCGAGAGGGAAAGAACCCAGACCAUCAGCUAAGGUCCCCAAAUGUAUACUAAGUUGUGUAAACGUGGUGCGAUUGCAUUGACAGCUAGGAUGUUGGCUUGGAAGCAGCCAUUCAUUUAAAGAGUGCGUAACAGCUCACUAGUCGAGCGAUCGUGCGUGGAUAAUAAGCGGGCAUUAAGUAUACUACCGAAGCUAUGGAUUUCAUAGUAAUAUGGACUGGUAGGGGAGCAUUCUAUUCAGCGUAGAAGGUGCAUGGUGAUGUGUGCUGGAGCGGAUAGAAAAGCAAAUGUAGGAAUAAGUAACGAUAAUGCAGGCGAGAAACCUGCACACCGAAAGACUAAGGUUUCCUGGGCGACGCUAAUCGUCCCAGGGUUAGUCGGGACCUAACGCGAACCCGCAAGGGGUAGUGGAUGGCAAACGGGUUAAUAUUCCCGUACUUGCUUUAACUGCGAUGGGGUGACGGAGUAAUGAAAGGACCGCGUACUGACGGAAUAGUACGUUGAAGAUUGUAGCUAUAGGCUGUAUAGGUAAAUCCGUACGGCUUGGUGAAGAUCGAUAGUACCGAGCGUCUUCGGACAAUUGGAUAGUGUCCCUAAGGGCUUCCUAGAAAAACCUCUAAGCUUCAGGUUAAAGCAACUCGUACCGUAAACCGACACAGGUAGUCGAGGAGAGAAUCCUAAGGUGCUCGAGUGAUUCAUGGCUAAGGAACUAGGCAAAAUGGUCUCGUAACUUCGGGAGAAGAGACGCCACAGCAAUGUGGCCGCAGUGAAUAGACCCAGGCGACUGUUUAUCAAAAACACAUGGCUUUGCAAAAUCGAAAGAUGAAGUAUAAGGCCUGACACCUGCCCGGUGCCGGAAGGUUAAGAGGAGAUGUUAGUUUCGGCGAAGCAUUGAAUUGAAGCCCCGGUAAACGGCGGCCGUAACUAUAACGGUCCUAAGGUAGCGAAAUUCCUUGUCGGG